This 460-nucleotide ribosomal RNA is filed under the name uncultured bacterium. Its description in RNAcentral is "partial 16S ribosomal RNA". It matches the Rfam family "Bacterial small subunit ribosomal RNA", at positions 338 to 795 of the family's 1533-position model. The record is from RNAcentral.
CCUACGGGAGGCAGCAGUGAGGAAUAUUGGUCAAUGGUCGGGAGACUGAACCAGCCAAGCCGCGUGCGGGAGGAAGGUACAGAGUAUCGUAAACCUCUUUUGUCAGGGAACAAAGGCGGGGACGUGUCCCCGGCUGAGUGUACCUGACGAAAAAGCAUCGGCUAACUCCGUGCCAGCAGCCGCGGUAAUACGGAGGAUGCGAGCGUUAUCCGGAUUUAUUGGGUUUAAAGGGUGCGCAGGCGGUCUGUUAAGUUAGCGGUCAAAGCCCGGGGCUCAACCCCGGCGGUGCCGUUGAAACUGGCAGGCUCGAGUGGGAUAGAGGUAGGCGGAAUGCGCGGUGUAGCGGUGAAAUGCAUAGAGAUCGCGCAGAACACCGAUUGCGAAGGCAGCAUGCCGGCUCCAAACUGACGCUGAGGCACGAAAGCGUGGGGAUCGAACAGGAUUAGAUACCCGGGUAGUC